CCCCCUCACCAUCAACACACACACACACACUCACACACACACACACACACACACACACACUCAUACACACACACUAUUGUCCUGCUGCAGCACCGGGCCCAGCAGGCAGAGGCAGCUCAGGAGGAGGGAUUGUGUCUUGAUGUCCACGCACUGGAGGAGCUGCACCGUCAAGGCAUACCCACAACUGAUGACAGCCCCAAAUAUAACUACUCUCUUCGCCCCAAUGGGGAUUAUGGUGAGAACCUAGACCCAGACUGGUAGGCACAAGCUUACCUGACCUUGACUGGGAAGGAGAGAAAUGGUAGCCACCAGCCUCUUGCAUUGCCCUAAGUAGCCAGCAGGGGUCACUACCUCCUUCAUCCGGAAAACCCUUCUUCACCCUCUGAAGCCAGAUGCCUUUUCC
RNAcentral lists this long non-coding RNA (403 nucleotides) under Rattus norvegicus (Norway rat). RNAcentral's name for it is "long non-coding RNA NONRATT029828". The record is from RNAcentral. Lineage: Eukaryota; Metazoa; Chordata; Mammalia; Rodentia; Muridae.